Molecule: ribosomal RNA, 492 nt
Filed under: uncultured bacterium
Lineage: Bacteria
Description: partial 16S ribosomal RNA
Rfam family: Bacterial small subunit ribosomal RNA
Source: RNAcentral
AGUGAACGCUGGCGGUAGGCCUAACACAUGCAAGUCGAGCGGCAGCACAGUAAGAGCUUGCUCUUACGGGUGGCGAGUGGCGGACGGGUGGGGAAUACAUCGGAAUCUACUUUUUCGUGGGGGAUAACGUAGGGAAACUUACGCUAAUACCGCAUACGACCUACGGGUGAAAGCAGGGGAUCUUCGGACCUUGCGCGAUUGAAUGAGCCGAUGUCGGAUUAGCUAGUUGGCGGGGUAAAGGCCCACCAAGGCGACGAUCCGUAGCUGGUCUGAGAGGAUGAUCAGCCACACUGGAACUGAGACACGGUCCAGACUCCUACGGGAGGCAGCAGUGGGGAAUAUUGGACAAUGGGCGCAAGCCUGAUCCAGCCAUACCGCGUGGGUGAAGAAGGCCUUCGGGUUGUAAAGCCCUUUUGUUGGGAAAGAAAAGCAGCAGGUUAAUACCCCGCUGUUCUGACGGUACCCAAAGAAUAAGCACCGGCUAACUUCGUG